CUUGUUUUUUCUUCAAAACAAAACAAACUACAAAAAUGUAAGCUGGCAAUGAGCAUCCCGUAUAAUUAAAAACAGUUCGAUAUGAUAUCAUAACCAUAAUAUUAGCUUAAGAAAUUCAACUUCAAACUUCCUCUGACAGUAGACGGCAAAAAUUCCGCUGUGAUGUGCUGUGACUGUCGGAACCUGCGGAAUUACUCCAGUUGAAAGAACCAUGAUACCAACACAGCGCUCCAGAAAGUGCUCAAGUAGUCCUUGAUUGCCGAUGGACAUGGCAUCAUGGGUUCAUGGAAUCACGGCCCGGUGCAACGGGUGGCAGGAAACACUAUUUCGCGACGAUUCCAACAAGAAGCUGGAUAAACGGUCUAGCCUGUGCAAGAUCGACUAAAGAUACAAACCCCAAAAGAGUAGCGAAAUUUCUUGAGUCGUGUUGAAUAUAGUCCUAAAAGUCUACCAUCUUAUACCAUCUACUAGAGAAACACGCUUGAUCACAAACAGCUAUUUAUUAACCAACAUUCUCAAGUGUUUUUCUGCAUCUGAGCCGAAAUUCGCCUCAUUGGUGUGGUAUUCACGACUUACGCACCGUAGUGCUUUCCAUUAUCUCUUUUACUCGGCACUUGACUGCUGGUUCUAUCUUUGAGACAUCUAAUAGCCCAAUAUUUCCGGUUGUGACAAAUUCCUUCACAAUGAUUCUCUAUCUCAAAAAUCGGCACAAAUAUGUAAAAGACGGUGUUGAUACGGUUCGUGAAAGUUUUCAUAAGUUGUAUACUCUAUCCAAGGUUAUCUUUGGUAAAUCAUGUUAAUUGAUGGUGGAAUAUAAUGUGUUUUCCAAAUAGAUAUGACGGAUUUAAUCAUAUACCGGAAAAAUUCAUGCUCGAGAUCACGAAAAAAAUGGUUUUGUGGUAUGUUUCAUAUCAUAAUUUUGUUCCCUGUGGUUGUUCAAAAUCGCUUAAAUAAAUUCAAAGUCAAAAUUCUUGAAAACUUUCGUAAAAAUUCUUGUUGAAAUUCUGAAGAAAUUUUCGUUGGAGUGUAGAAGAGAUUUCUCUAUGAAAUCAGAGAAAUUAUCCGUUGUAAUUCUGAAGAAUUUUCCACCGAAAAUCCGAAAAAUUUCCCGUGGAAACAGAAAAGAAUUUCCAGUGAAAAUUUUCGUGAAAGUUUCGGAGAAUUUGUCGUGGUAAUUCCAAUGUAUUUAACAAAUUUCUGGAUAAGAAAAAACAUUUUGUAUUACCCCGACC
This is a long non-coding RNA of Armigeres subalbatus, 1232 nucleotides long. RefSeq lists it as uncharacterized. The record is from RefSeq and is a predicted model, not a curated record. The transcript has 3 exons. Lineage: Eukaryota; Metazoa; Arthropoda; Insecta; Diptera; Culicidae.